This 443-nucleotide ribosomal RNA is filed under the name uncultured bacterium. RNAcentral describes it as "partial 16S ribosomal RNA". It matches the Rfam family "Bacterial small subunit ribosomal RNA", at positions 338 to 795 of the family's 1533-position model. The record is from RNAcentral.
UCUACGGGAGGCAGCAGUGGGGAAUAUUGGGCAAUGGGCGCAAGCCUGACCCAGCAACGCCGCGUGAAGGAAGAAGGCUUUCGGGUUGGAAACUUCUUUUCUUAGGGACGAAGAAAGUGACGGUACCUCAGGAAUAAGCCACGGCUAACUACGUGCCAGCAGCAGCGGGAAUACGUAGGUGGCAAGCGUUAACCGGAUUUAUUGGGUGUAAAGGGCGUGUAGGGGGGAAAGCAAGUCAGAUGUGAAAACUCAGGGCUCAACCCUGAGCCUGGAUUUGAAACUGUUGUUCUUGAGUGCUGGAGAGGAAAUCGGAAUUUCUGGUGUAGCGGUGAAAUGCGUAGAUAUACGGAGGAACACCAGUGGCGAAGGCGGAUUGCUGGACAGUAACUGACGCUGAGGCGCGAAAGCGUGGGGAGCAAACAGGAUUAGAUACCCGAGUAGUC